This 330-nucleotide long non-coding RNA is filed under the name Sarcophilus harrisii (Tasmanian devil). Its description in RNAcentral is "lncRNA (ENSSHAG00000032125.1)". Lineage: Eukaryota; Metazoa; Chordata; Mammalia; Dasyuromorphia; Dasyuridae. The record is from RNAcentral.
AGAAAAACAUUGAAAGAAACAAAUCAACCAGGAGAUCAAGGCCUCUCUCUAAAGAAAGCCAGGAACCAUAUGUAUCCACUCUAAAAGCUGGAAGCCAGAAAAAGAAACUUCUCUCAGGCUCUUCCUAGCUCUACUACUCAUGUAAAUCACUCAGAUAAAAAUUCCAUCACAGAGGAAAGUUUUGUGCAAAUACUUGAGCAAAUUAUGAGACACCAUUACCUUUGAAACCCCAAAGACGAACUUCAUACUGAAGUCAAUGGAAAGACAUAUGAAGCUAUGAUCUGAGGAUGGAGGGAGAAGCCCAUCAGCUCCUGCUGAAGUGGUUCCCAG